UUUUUUCUUUUUUCUUUUUUUUUUCUUUUUAGGAUUGUACCUGCGGCAUAUGGAGGUUCCCAGGCUAGGGGUCGAAUUGGAGCUGUAUCUGCCAGACUACACCACAGCCACAGCCACGCCAGAUCUGAGCCAUGUCUGUGACCUACACCACAGCUCACAGCAAUGCUGGAUCCUUAAUCCACUGAGUGAGGCCGGGGGUAGAACCCACAUCCUCAUGGAUACUAGUCGGGUUUGUUACUGUUGAGCCACAUUGGGAAUUCACUGGGUAAGCAUUUAAAAUAUAGUAAUAUAAAACACUGCUACAGCCUAUAUCUGUUAGCUCUACGUAUACUUAAAGUUUAAUAUUGCACAUUAUUAUAUAGUAUAAUGUAUAUAUUUGUAUAUUAGGUACAGUUGUAUAAUAUAUGAUAUACAGUAUUAAGAUAUACCUGUAUUAUAAAAAUAAAAUACUAUUAUAUGUAUAUAUUCAUUUAUGUAUAAUGUUUUAUAUUUUAGUAUUUUUUAUUAAAUCUUAAUAUUUACAUGUAUUAAUUUGUGCUAUAUGGCAUAAAAUGCAAUUACAUAUAUAUUUUAAUGUAAUAUUAUAUAUAUGUAUACAUAAGGAUAGCAUAUUAUUUAAACCAAAGUUUAUGUGUAGAACAUAUAUGCACACAUACAUAUACAUAUAUCUAUAGGGAUUGUAUAUUAUUUAAACCAAAAUUUAUAUAUGUACCAUAUACAUAUACACACAUAUAUGUGUAAAUAUUUAUUACAAUUUAAUAAAUGCCAAACCUUCAUUCAAUACAUAUUCAAGGACAAGCAACUUGCAUAAGCCUCUGAAUUUACUAAAAGUUCCUCUUUUCUAAUAAAUUUGUUAAAACUAGUGAGACUUUCUUUUUCCCCAUAAAGACUACAGUUGUGUGGUGACCGUAUUUAUGGCGAUUAGAUGUAUCCUUGCGAAAUCAAACAAAAAUAAAGUAAUUAUGGAGAGCAUUCAAAAGAAGGAACAAAUGAAAGCUUUUACUGGGCUGACUGCUUGGAGCAGCCUUUGAGCUGUUUUGAGAACCCACGUUUUCUGGAAAAUGGCUUUAAUUCUUCACAGGGAUUUGCAAGAGCAGCCGCUGGUUACACACGGACGUGCCAGCUGCAAGUGACGGUGGCAGAAAGCCGUUCAUUAAAUCUCACACCCAGGAUGGAGUCGGGAGAGGGCACCUGUGCAGAUAUCCAUGAGGUGUGUUUUCAGGCGUCAUUCUCCUAGAUGUGCUUUCCUUAUUUUGACCCUUUCAUUGUCCCUGUGUACAGAAAUGUUACUGUACGUACAUAUUUUCUCAUCUUAGAGAAAACUAAAUGUCCCCAAAUAAGUAUUAUCCUUUGUAGAUUCUCACGUCCUUUCACUGGCAUUUCUGAGCUAAACUGAAGUAUCUUCUCAGCUGAGACUAAAAACAAUAGAGCCAUGAGGUCCUACUGUGCAGAACAAGGAAUUAUAUCCAGUUACUUGGGAUAGAUCGUGAUGGAGAUAAUAUAAAAAAAGGGAAUAUGUAUAUAUUACAUACAUAUGUGAGAAUAUAUUAUAUAUAUAUGAGAAUAUAUGCUAUACAUGAAAAUAUAUAUAAGGGAAUCUAUUACAUAUAUAUAUGUAUAUAUAUAUAUGACGGGGUCACUUUGCUGUGUACAGCAUAAACUUUCACAAUAUUGUAAAUCAACUAUCCUUUAACAAAUUUUUAAAAAAAUAGCUCUAGGAGUUCCCGUCGUGGCGCAGUGGUUAAUGAAUCCGACUAGGAACCAUGAGGUUGCGGGUUUGGUCCCUGCCCUUGCUCAGUGGGUUAAGGAUCCAGCGUUGCUGUGAGCUGUGAUGUAGGUUGCAGACGCGGCUCGGAUCCCGCAUUGCUGUGGCCAUGGCGUAGGCUGGCAACUACAGCUCCAACUCGACCCCUAUCCUGGGAACCUCCAUAUGCCAGGGGAGGAGGCCAAGAAAUGGCAAAAAGACAAAAAAAAAAAAAAAGGCUCUAAAUAACAAUGUUUAGAAAGACUUUGUCUCCAUUAAUAAUGCUGCUAUCACCACCUGCUUUAGCUAUUUUUUAGUCCAUUUGUGUAUUUUACUGAUAUCUUCAAUGGCGCUUUCUUCCACAUUUUCAACAAGUUUUUCCAGUGAGAUAAACUUCUGGGUUUGACCUCAUGCCUGGGAACUAGGACAGCUGUGUGUGAACUGGGGAGAAAAUGGACCCGCUUGAAAUAUGGACCGAAUAGUCUAGAUAAUAAGGUCUAUCUUUCACUCUUAGCUCUAUUGACCCCAGAUAUUAUUCAGGUCUCAUCGGGCUCAAGAAAAAUGGCAAGAAACCUUUCUUCAUAAAUUCAGCUGAUGGGGAUGAUGCGAGAUCUAAAACCGAGUUCAACAUCUUCCUCAUUGAGGGCUGUGUCACCCGCUCGCUGGCAAAUGUCCCCGGGGUCUGAAAACAAACCCUUGCCAAGCUCAUAGGCUCUCUGAGCUGGAGGAGAAUCAUGGUUGUAAUUUGCACAAGGCUCUCACACGUUCAUAGGAAAUUGUCAUGACAUGCAGACGGACCGGGACAGGGGGGAAGCUAAGUGAGACAUUACAUGAUGAGCAGGGAGAGAAAAGUCAUUUUCAAGGCCAUCAAUGAAUAUGGGCGCUGAGCCACAGAGAGCAGAUUUGAAGUAUGGUGGCGUGGGCAAAAUGGAGUUUUCAUGUAGGUUUACAGAGACAGUAAAAUUGGAAACAUACACAAAUUCAUCAAUUCCACGGAGCCAAUGUGCUUCAGCUCCGAGAGCUGGCAAUGACCUUGUCAUGGAUCAAUCAGGAUGUGUUUCCUCGGAGCUCAGCCAUAAUGUUUCCAUAGCAACCAAGUCCGUAAUUAAGUGUAGGGAUUAAUGGGAUUCGUGACCCAUGACCCAAAUGAUGACUGCAAAACCAGCACAGGGAACUCUAUCCAGUCUCUUGGGAUAAACCAUGACAGAAGACAGUAUGAGAAAAAGAAUCUAUGUCUGACUGGGUCCCUACGCUGUACAGCAGAAAUGGACACAACACUCUAAAUCAACUAUACUUUAGUUUAAAAAUUAAAUUAAAAAAUAAAGAAACAGACAGACAUGGAGAAGAGACUUGUGGCUGCCAAGGGGGAGGGGGAGGUUGAGGUUCGUAGAUGCAAACUAGGACAUUGAGAAUGAAGAAGCCAUGAGGUCCUGCUGUGCAGCACAGGGAACUCUAUCCAGUCUCUUGGGAUAGACCAGGGGUGGGAGAAAAUAGUAUGAGAAAAAGAAGGUGUGUGUAUAUAUAUGUGUGUGUGUGUGUGUAUACAUACACACACAAUUGGGUCACUAUGCUGUACAGCAGAAAUCAACACAACAUUGUAAAUCAACGAUACAAAAUUUAAAAAUUGACAAUGAGGGUAAAUCAGCUACACUGUAAAAAACAAAAAACCAAGGGCUCUGAAACCCUGAUCCACGCCCUUUGCAUGGCCCCAUGUUGAUGCUCUGUUACCAGGUCAGAGACGGGGAAGAGAAACACAGCUAGACAGGCAGGAAAUCAGAGAUGGGAAAUGCAAGACAAAGAUGCAACCAGGAGACCCAGAGAUACGGGGACAGGAAAAGAGGCAAGUGGGAGAGAAAUACGUCAAAAGAGACACUAUACCUUGCUGGCAGCUGCCAGAACUAUCACAAACUGGGUCACUUACAAACACAGAACUUGAUUUUUAAGAUUCUGGAGUUGACGUCUGAAAUCCAGGCAUCCGCGUGGUUUGUUCUGUCUCAGAAUCAUAGAUGGAAUUCCUUCCUUUCCUCCCAAGAGCUUCUGGCAUUUCUUAGCUGGUAGCUGCCUGACUCCAAUCUCUGCCUCAUGAGCGGUCCUGUGUGUCUCAUUCCAUAUGGCUUUUUCCUCUCUGUGCCUCUUUUCUCUUUUCUUUUUUCUUUUCUUUCUUCUGUCUUUCUUAUUCUUUCUUUCCUUCCUUCCUUUGUUUCUUUCUCUUUCCUUCCUUCCUUCUUUCUUCUUUCCUUCUUAUACAGACAGCAGUCAUACUGGGUUAAAAACCUGCCUUACCCCAGGGGGCCUCCUCUUAAAUUAUGUCCUAAUUACCUCUGCACAAAUCAUUUCCAAAAAAGAUCAUGGUCAUGGAUACUAGUACUGAGAACACCAACUUGGGGAGAGUGCGUAAUUCAACAGACAGCAAAGACAGGGAUUGCUUUUUUUCCCUUCUGUAUUACUUACUUACUGCUUGGCUAUGGGCAGUAGAGUGGGGAGAAUUCCUAGAGCAGGACUGCCAGCUCCCAGAUUCUUUUUGUUUGUUUGUUUCCGUUUUCUUUUUAAAGUUUUACUGAAGCAUCAUUGAUUUACAAUGUUGUGAUUUUUGCUAGACAGCAAAGUGACUCAGUUAUACAUCCAUUCUCUUUCAGAUUCUUUUCUCAUAGAGAUGAUCACAAAACACUGGGUAGAGUGCCCUGUGCUCGACAGCAGGUCCCCAUGGACCAGUCAUUCCAUAGACCUCAGGGUGCAUGUGCCAAUCCCACAACCCCAGUCCAUCCCUCCUCACCUGUCCCUUUUGGUCACCAUAAGUUUUUCUUUUUUUUUCCUCAAAGCCUGUGAGUCUGUUUCUGUUCUGAAAAUAAAUACAUUUGUAUCCUCUUUCAGAUUCCACACAAGUGAUAUCAUAUGGUAUUUGUCUCUGUCUGACUUACUGCACUUAGUAUGAUAAUCUUUAGGUCCAUCCAUGUUGCUGCAAAUGGCAUUAUUUCAUUCUUUUUCAUGGCUGAGUAGUAUUCCAUUGUAUACACGUACCACGCCUUCUUUAUCCAUUCAUCUAUCAAUGGACAUUGAGGUAGUGUCCAUGUCUGGACUAUUGUGAACAAUGCUGCUAUGAACACAUGGGUGCAUGCAUCAUUUUGAAUUAUAGGUUUCUCCAGAUGUAUGCCCAGGAGUGGGAUUGCUGAAUCAGAUGGUAGUUCUACUUUAACUUUUUCUAGGAACCUCCAUACUGUUCUCCAUAGCAGUUAUACCAAUUUACCUUCUUGCCAGUAGCAGAGGAGGGUUCCCUUUUCUCCACAAUGUAUCCAGCAUUUGUUAUUUGCAGACUUUUUGCCAUUUCACAAGUUUUAUUGAAGUACAGUUGAUUUACAACGUUGUAAUCAUUUUUGCUAUACCACAAAGUGAUUCCAUGACACAUACACACAUACCCACACUCUUUCAGAUUCUUUUCCCACAUAGACCAUCACAGAAUAUUGAGUAGAGAUCCCUGUGCUAGAAGCAGGACCCCAUUUCCCAGUCAUUCCAUAUACAACACUGUGCAAAUGCCAAUCCCAAAUACAAGAUUUUUUUUUUUUUAAUUUUAAGGCUUGGGCUACCCCAAACAUGAAUUCUUUGUUUCCUACUGUACAGCAUGGUGAGCCAGUUACACAUACCUGUAUACAUUCUUUUUUCUCACAUUAUCAUGCUCCAUCAUAAGGGGGAGGGAGUGGGGUGGACUGGGAGCUUGGGGUUCAUAGAUGCAAACCCUUGCUUUUGGAGUGGAUGAGCAAUGAGAUCCAGCUGUGUAGCACUGGGAACUAUGUCUAGUCACUUACAAUAGAACAAGGGUUUUUAAAAGUUGUAGAGAAGGCAAGAGAGACAUGAAGACCUGAGAUGUUUGCACAGAGUAACGACGUAGAAAGCUGCACCCACGUUGGAAAGUUUGCAGGACAGCUAUGCAAUCAAUUACAAUGAAAGCCAAACAAAAACAAAAGAUGCUUCUCUCUACCUUGAGGGUAAAAAGAUCCUCACGAAAUGCUCUUUUCACAUAUUCUACUACAGCCCUGAAAAUAGCACUGGUUUCUCUUCAUCAUGCCUCUUCCCCCCUCUCUCUCUCUCACAGUUUAUGUCAGGCUCAAUGAAGGACCACUUUCCUACACAAGACAUGGUCCUGAAUCUGCUAUUUACUCCACCCUCAUCUACGCUACCCUCUGGUUUUGCACACUUGUCACUGGAUGGAUAGAAACAUUCCUGCUAGCCUUUCAACAGCUCGUCCAGAUAGCUCACGAAUAAUACAGACACUGGUCAAGCAGGUCCCCUGAUGAUGUUCAAGAAGGCAGGCGUUUUAAUUUUACCUCCUCAGCAAUGUUUGGGAAAUUUAGACUUCGCCCCGUAUAAGAAACAGAGUAAAUGGGGGAACCAAUUAGAGCUGUGGGCACAUUGGCUAACUUCAAGGAUGUAAGAAAUGAGUAAAGUGGGGGAAGUUCCUGUUGUGGCUC
This 6207-nucleotide long non-coding RNA is filed under the name Sus scrofa (pig). RNAcentral's name for it is "lncRNA (ENSSSCG00025058965.1)". Lineage: Eukaryota; Metazoa; Chordata; Mammalia; Artiodactyla; Suidae. The record is from RNAcentral.